This 407-nucleotide ribosomal RNA is filed under the name uncultured bacterium. Its description in RNAcentral is "bacterial SSU rRNA". It matches the Rfam family "Bacterial small subunit ribosomal RNA", at positions 355 to 774 of the family's 1533-position model. The record is from RNAcentral.
UGGGGAAUAUUGCACAAUGGGCGCAAGCCUGAUGCAGCGACGCCGCGUGAGGGAUGACGGCCUUCGGGUUGUAAACCUCUUUCAGUAGGGACGAAGCGAAAGUGACGGUACCUACAGAAGAAGGACCGGCCAACUACGUGCCAGCAGCCGCGGUAAUACGUAGGGUCCGAGCGUUGUCCGGAAUUACUUGGCGUAAAGAGCUCGUAGGUGGUUUGUCGCGUUGUUCGUGAAAACUCACAGCUUAACUGUGGGCGUGCGGGCGAUACGGGCAGACUAGAGUACUGCAGGGGAGACUGGAAUUCCUGGUGUAGCGGUGGAAUGCGCAGAUAUCAGGAGGAACACCGGUGGCGAAGGCGGGUCUCUGGGCAGUAACUGACUCUGAGGAGCGAAAGCGUGGGUAGCGAACA